Molecule: ribosomal RNA, 497 nt
Filed under: uncultured bacterium
Lineage: Bacteria
Description: partial 16S ribosomal RNA
Rfam family: Bacterial small subunit ribosomal RNA
Source: RNAcentral
GAUGAACGCUGGCGGCGUGCCUAAUACAUGCAAGUCGAGCGAACAGACGAGGAGCUUGCUCCACUGACGUUAGCGGCGGAAGGGUGAGUAACACGUGGAUAACCUACCUAUAAGACUGGGAUAAAUUCGGGAAACCGGAGCUAAUACCGGAUAAUAUAUUGAACCGCAUGGUUCAAUAGUGAAAGACGGUUUUGCUGUCACUUAUAGAUGGAUCCGCGCCGCAUUAGCUAGUUGGUAAGGUAACGGCUUACCAAGGCAACGAUGCGUAGCCGACCUGAGAGGGUGAUCGGCCACACUGGAACUGAGACACGGUCCAGACUCCUACGGGAGGCAGCAGUAGGGAAUCUUCCGCAAUGGGCGAAAGCCUGACGGAGCAACGCCGCGUGAGUGAUGAAGGUCUUCGGAUCGUAAAACUCUGUUAUUAGGGAAGAACAAAUGUGUAAGUAACUAUGCACGUCUUGACGGUACCUUAUCAGAAAGCCACGGCUAACUACGUG